RNAcentral lists this unclassified non-coding RNA (294 nucleotides) under uncultured Dothideomycetes. RNAcentral's name for it is "partial contains 5.8S ribosomal RNA, internal transcribed spacer 2, and large subunit ribosomal RNA". The stretch from base 1 to 52 matches the Rfam family "5.8S ribosomal RNA", at positions 103 to 154 of the family's 154-position model. Lineage: Eukaryota; Fungi; Ascomycota; Dothideomycetes. The record is from RNAcentral.
AACGCACAUUGCGCCCCUUGGUAUUCCGAGGGGCAUGCCUGUUCGAGCGUCAUUUAACCUAAUCAAGCCUCGCUUGGUAUUGGGCCAUCGCCCCCUCUUCUCACGAGGGGAGGGCGUGCCUCAAAGUCGACCCGGCGAGUGUCAGAUCGACCCUGGGCGUAGUAGAAUCAAUUCGAUAACGUCGUAAGGGUAGUUCGGGCCUCCGCCGUCGAAAUACCGUCCCCUCUCCCGGGGACGGGACCACCAUUUCUCAAGGUUGACCUCGGAUCAGGUAGGGAUACCCGCUGAACUUAA